GAUGAACGCUGACAGAAUGCUUAACACAUGCAAGUCGAUUCGAUUUACCUUCGGGGUAUUGAGGAUGGCGGACGGGUGAGUAACGCGUAAGGAACUUGCCUCUUGGACUGGGACAACUGUUGGAAACGACAGCUAAUACCGGAUAUUAUGAGAUUCUCGCAUGGGAAACUUAUGAAAGCUAUAUGCGCCAAGAGAGAGCCUUGCGUUCCAUUAGCUAGUUGGUGGGGUAAUGGCCCACCAAGGCGACGAUGGAUAGCCGGCCUGAGAGGGUGAACGGCCACAAGGGGACUGAGACACGG
This 299-nucleotide ribosomal RNA is filed under the name uncultured bacterium. RNAcentral's name for it is "partial 16S ribosomal RNA". It matches the Rfam family "Bacterial small subunit ribosomal RNA", at positions 28 to 329 of the family's 1533-position model. The record is from RNAcentral.